This is a long non-coding RNA of Ruditapes philippinarum (Manila clam), 3059 nucleotides long. RefSeq lists it as uncharacterized. The record is from RefSeq and is a predicted model, not a curated record. Lineage: Eukaryota; Metazoa; Mollusca; Bivalvia; Venerida; Veneridae. The transcript is spliced from 6 exons.
AUAACCUGGCAAUAUGUGUCAAAGAAGAAUGUUUUAAUUUGAUAACAACAGUGAAUAAAAUUAUCUCCAUUUCAGGGUACAAUCACAUUACCUCCAGGUAUUGUACCAGGACAGGGGGCGGUACUCAUGAAAAAUGAGCAAGGGCAGAUUGUGAUAGUCCAGCCUGGCUCACUUCCAGGCCAUAAUCCAGUUUCUUCAGUAACGAUCUCAAGCAGUACAACACAACAGAAAGUUCAGUAUGUUAGGGUAAGUCUCUUCAACCUUGACAAAUAUGAACAACAUUGUUAUGGUGUGUGACUUGACAAGUCUUAGUACAUGUUUGUUAAGUUUUUACGUCGAUAUUUACAUGUUUUGUGGUCAUAUCUGAGCAGUGGAUCCCAGACUUCCCGAAAUACGUCGGUCCGACGGACAUGUCCGAUAAAUUUUGAUCAGGUCCGACGAGUUUUUACUCCGGAUCGGUCCGACUGUCCGGCUUUUAUCCAAGCCGCAUGUAUACAAAAUGGCGUCGCUAAAGGUGACAAACCUUGGAAAAAUUAAAAAUCUACGUCAGAGGAACAGGCAGAACAGCAGUAAAAGGAUAAAAAGAAUGACUAAAGAGGAAGUCGACCUAACUUUAUGUUUUACGUGUACAUGUAGGCAUUAGAGGGACAUGGAUGUACUGUCCAUCUACAGAUCUCUCAAAUUACUGACGCGAUUCUAAUUAGAUGACAUAAGAAUAAGCAAAAACACUGACAGGAAAGUUGCAAUUGAUGACUUUCCAAGCGACAGCCCGUGUGACAGGUAUUUGAAUGUUGGAAAUUUAUUUGGAAGAGACACAUAUGUCCGUUUGACACGUCAGUGUGAGUAUGUUUUCACCUCGAUGAUUGAACUUUUCGAUGGAUUUCAAACCAUAGAGGCAAGUAUUUUAUUUCCUUUAAAAAUUAUUUUAUUUACAUUAUAAUUUAAAGGUAUUUAUUAGUUAUUGUUAAAGAAUGACUUUUUAAUGAUAGUUUGGUAAUAUUAGGUACUUUAUGUUCAAAAUUCUAUACGAGAGUUUCACGAAAGUUACAAGUAAAUAAAAAAUACAUGUCGUUAAAUUCUGAAGAAUUCUGCAUGAAAUAGUAAUUUAGUAAAUAAAUGUUGCAUAACAUGUUAAGAUUAUCUGUAAUGCCCAUUACAGGAAUACGUGACACAUUGGUUUAAUAGAAGGAAGAUGCGAAAGCUUGGGUUUUUGGUGACCGUUGGUGUGUAUUCGCAUGGUAUCAUUAUCAAUGAAGAUGGAAGUGUCAGUUUGUUUGACUCCCAUGGACAGCUGAAAUACGAAGGAAAAGUGAUCACGUCUUUGGCCGGAGCUUUGAAUUUUCCUUCGGUCAAAGAGCUUGCUGUUUUUUUAUAAGUAUGUAUGGUGAGGGCAGAAGCGCUGCAAUUGCUCUGGUCAGUGUGCGUUCCCCCGGAUCAUCUCACAGAGGGGUUUGCAAGAAUGCCACUGAUCAUGAGCAAGCUGAGUUUGGUUAUCAACCAUUCUGCAUGAAAGCAACUGACACUUCGGCGAGCUAUAUCCUGCCAGAAAUCCAAGUAGAAGGCGAGAGCGUAAAUGAGAAUGUGAAAGUAUUGGAGGAAGAUGAUGUGUCACCGUAUGUUAUGCUUUUAGGAGGUGGGACAUAGAGCGCAGGGCCGAGUGAGAUGGAGGAGGGAGGAGACGGAGGAGGGAGGGGCUAGCAAGUUCUGUCAGGAUGAAUAAAUGCGCAGGGCCGAGUGAGACGGAUGAGGGAGGGGCUAGCAAGUUCUGUCGUGAUGAAUAAAUGCGCAGGGCCGAGUUAGACGGAGGAGGGAGGGGCUAGCUAGUUCUGUCGGGAUGAAAAAAUGGAUACGAGAGGACAGAAUGCGGGUAGAAAGAUAUGUCGAGAAUGUUGUCCCGAAUUACUCUGACAUAAGUUUUCAAAGGCAUUUCCGACUGUCUCGUGAUACUUUCAACAUAGUUCAUGAUCAAUUAAAAGAAUGUCAAGAGUUUGUUGUACAAGCUCGCCAGCAGUUCCAGUCGCUAAACAGUUAAUGAUCACCUUGUGGUACUAAGUGACACACGAUACAAUACAUCGUCUGUCAGAUAGGUUCUGGGUUUCAGAAGAUACCAUCCUGAACUCCCGGGACUCUGUUAUUGCACCAGUUAAAAGACAUUUGAGAACAAAAAUUAUAAGCUGGCCAACACAGCAAGAAAAACAAGUCAUUAAAGAUCAUUAUGAAAGAAAAAAUGGGUUCCCCAAUAUUAUUGGGAGUUUAGAUGGCACACACAUUAGAAUAAGUGCUCCAAGAGAGAACCAAAAAUCAUACAUAAAUCGCAAAGGAUUCCAUUCUAUUCAACUGCAGGCUGUCUGUAGAGAAGAUUUAACAUUUACUUACUGUUUUACCAGUUUCCUCGGGCGUGUUCAUGAUUCAAGAGUAUUGAACAAAUUCUGAUUUAGGGGAUCAUGGACAAGAGCUAUGCGGAGAUGACCAUAUCUUAGCUGAUGGUGGAUAUCCAUUACAGACAUGGUUAUUAACACCCUACUGGGACAAUGGAUUUUUUAACCUUUAACCAGAGACAUUUCAACUUCUUGCUGUCUUCAAAUCGAGUGUCCAUAGAACGAGCCUUUAGGCUUUUAAAGGGUAGAUUUCCGCGCCUUACAAGCUUGGUUGUGAAUAGGGUAGAGACAGUUGUGGACAUUAUUAUGGCUUGUUGUGUUUUGCAUAAUGUUUGCAUUCAGCAAUCCGAUAUUAAAGAUGAAUUUAUGCAAAGAGACAAUGCUCCUGUCAGAUUAAAUGUUGGUCAUGGAAUUCAACCUCCUGCAGAGGGUAUUCUGAAAAGGGAUAACAUUGCAGCCAACUUACAGUAAAAAGAACAACUGAAAUGUGUAGAUUUUCUUAACUUUAUUUGGUGUACAGUAUGUGUAAAUACGGAAUAUGAAUUCAUAUACGCGAAUAUGAACGAGAGAUUAUUUUCAUAAAAUCAGCUCUUCUGAGACUAUUUUCGUCAACAGAUACUAUUUAUACUUUUCUUGUAUCGUAUGUCUUUGAGUGAAAGAAAAUAAAUUUCUAAUAUUGUU